RNAcentral lists this transfer RNA (91 nucleotides) under candidate division WWE3 bacterium CG_4_10_14_0_2_um_filter_47_8. Its description in RNAcentral is "tRNA-Ser". It matches the Rfam family "tRNA". Rfam says of the family: Transfer RNA (tRNA) molecules are approximately 80 nucleotides in length. RNAcentral also lists the same sequence under 2 other names. The record is from RNAcentral. Lineage: Bacteria; candidate division WWE3.
GGAGGCGUGCCAGAGUGGUCGAAUGGGCUCGCUUGGAAAGCGAGUAUCCCGCUUUGCGGGAUCACAGGUUCGAAUCCUGUCGCCUCCGCCA